GCUGGGUGUGGUGGUGCACACCUGUAAUCCCAGCUACUCAGGAGGCUGAGGCAGGAAAAUCACUUGAACCCAGGAAGUGGAGGUUGCAGUGAGCCAAGAUUGUGCCACUGCACUCCAGCCUGGGUGACAGAGGGAGACUCUGUCUCAA
RNAcentral lists this non-coding RNA (148 nucleotides) under Nomascus leucogenys (northern white-cheeked gibbon). The record is from Rfam by way of RNAcentral. Lineage: Eukaryota; Metazoa; Chordata; Mammalia; Primates; Hylobatidae.